AUCAGCUAGUUGGUAGUGUAACGGACUACCAAGGCUAAGACGGGUAGCUGGUCUGAGAGGAUGAACAGCCACACUGGAACUGAGACACGGUCCAGACUCCUACGGGAGGCAGCAGUAGGGAAUCUUGCGCAAUGGGCGAAAGCCUGACGCAGCGACGCCGCGUGAGUGAUGAAGGCCCUCGGGUUGUAAAGCUCUGUGGGGAGAGAAGAAUAAGUGCAAGCUAAUACUUUGCAUGAUGACGGUAUCUCCUUAGCAAGCACCGGCUAACUCUGUGCCAGCAGCCGCGGUAAGACAGAGGGUGCAAACGUUGUUCGGAAUCACUGGGCGUAAAGCGCGUGUAGGCGGCUUCUCAAGUCGGGUGUGAAAUCCCAGGGCUCAACCCUGGAAGUGCAUUCGAAACUGGGUAGCUAGAGUACUGGAGAGGAAGGUGGAAUGCUUGGUGUAGAGGUGAAAUUCGUAGAUAUCAAGCGGAACACCGGUGGCC
This 484-nucleotide ribosomal RNA is filed under the name uncultured bacterium. Its description in RNAcentral is "bacterial SSU rRNA". It matches the Rfam family "Bacterial small subunit ribosomal RNA", at positions 240 to 717 of the family's 1533-position model. The record is from RNAcentral.